Molecule: long non-coding RNA, 243 nt
Filed under: Elaeis guineensis (African oil palm)
Lineage: Eukaryota; Viridiplantae; Streptophyta; Magnoliopsida; Arecales; Arecaceae
Description: long non-coding RNA (EGUI_LNC039649)
Source: RNAcentral
CCCCAUAAUGUUUUGAAAAUAAUACUACUACUGACAUCGACCAUAAAUUUUGGAUGAUGUAUGAGUAGAUUGAGGCAAUCCAUCACCAAGCACCAACUCUUGACGAUAGGUACAACACUAACCCAUCGUUCAGUGACUGAAUAAUGCAAGAGUCGCUCCCCCUAAACUUCAAGAUGCCAUAAUUUGAGAGUUAUCAUGGGAUCAUUGAUCCUAUAGAUCAUUUGGAGAGUUUCAAGUCCCUGA